This 497-nucleotide ribosomal RNA is filed under the name uncultured bacterium. Its description in RNAcentral is "partial 16S ribosomal RNA". It matches the Rfam family "Bacterial small subunit ribosomal RNA", at positions 28 to 507 of the family's 1533-position model. The record is from RNAcentral.
GAUGAACGCUGGCGGCGUGCCUAAUACAUGCAAGUCGAGCGAACAGACGAGGAGCUUGCUCCUCUGACGUUAGCGGCGGACGGGUGAGUAACACGUGGAUAACCUACCUAUAAGACUGGGAUAACUUCGGGAAACCGGAGCUAAUACCGGAUAAUAUAUUGAACCGCAUGGUUCAAUAGUGAAAGACGGUUUUGCUGUCACUUAUAGAUGGAUCCGCGCCGCAUUAGCUAGUUGGUAAGGUAACGGCUUACCAAGGCGACGAUGCGUAGCCGACCUGAGAGGGUGAUCGGCCACACUGGAACUGAGACACGGUCCAGACUCCUACGGGAGGCAGCAGUAGGGAAUCUUCCGCAAUGGGCGAAAGCCUGACGGAGCAACGCCGCGUGAGUGAUGAAGGUCUUCGGAUCGUAAAACUCUGUUAUUAGGGAAGAACAAAUGUGUAAGUAACUAUGCCCGUCUUGACGGUACCUAAUCAGAAAGCCACGGCUAACUACGUG